Molecule: long non-coding RNA, 986 nt
Organism: Cloeon dipterum
Lineage: Eukaryota; Metazoa; Arthropoda; Insecta; Ephemeroptera; Baetidae
Exons: 5
Source: RefSeq, a predicted model, not a curated record
GAACUUCAGUCUUAUAAGGUGAGAGCGAAACAGUCAUCAUGCAUGCAAGAGUGGCAAGGCGCUUGAGCGUGGCAAUUUUGGCUAGCAUAGUCAUAAUAAUUUUUCUCUACGAACUUAAAAAUAAUACUAUGAAUGAGCCAAAUACUGUUUCGACAGGUCCAACAAAAAGCAAACUAAUGAGCCUUGAAGAUCUGAAUGGACGAGAGGAAUUCGACGAUUUACUCCUUACGUACGCCAAAGAUGUUAUGAUUGAGCCAUCGGAUCGAAAUGUGCCAUACUUCAUGAAUAACCCGAAAACUACAGAUUUCAGUGGCUUGAACUCAACCCUGAUAAUGUACACCCUAUUGAAAAACAAAAAAAACGGAUUUUUUGUAGACUGUGGAGCGUAUGACGGUGAACACGGGUCCGUUUCCAUGAAUUUGGAGAUGGAAUUUAACUGGACGGGACUGCUUGUGGACGCGGGACCCUCGGGAUUGCAAAAAAUCUUGCUAAAGAGCAGAAAAGCGUGGUUAGCUCCGACGUGCAUGAGCACAGAAAGAAAAUCCAUGAUGGUCUCAUUUGAGGAGAGAGGUAUGCAAAGUAAAAUUUCAAAGAAUGACGGAAAAACAUCAGGUCCGGUGGUGAGAUCUCUGUGUUUGCCUUUUCAUACCAUGAUGAAGGCGAUGGGGGUGUCAAAAGUGGACCUUUUCAACUUGGACGUGGAGGGGAUGGAGCUGCCCAUUUGAAAACCAUUGACUUUAAUCUCGUGCAGAUUGACGCUAUGGUUAUUGAGCACUACAAUAAUAAUGAGACUGUUAGAAGCGAAAUCAAACGAAUAAUGGAGGCCAACGGAUUCAAGUUUUAUCAGAAAAACAACUACGACUUUUUGUUUAUUCACAGUCGCGUGUAAAAGCCUGUCCUUAAUUUAAAGUUAUUUGGAUGUAGCAUGAAUUUAAGGAUAAAUAUCUGGUUCUGACAAAGAGCAAGCAGUUUGAUGUGUAACUGUA